AACAAAUUAAAUUUGUAAACGAUCAAAUUACACCGUUUUUAGACCACCUAAUCACAUCUUUUCCAAGUAUUUCAUACAAAAUUUCACGUGGGAUUGUUAGCGUAGACCGUGUGUAAACAAGUUGCCGGCUUACUAAAAUAAUCGCGGUUUUUACUGGGAAAACAGUGGUUGUCAAAACAUCCCGGAAGAACAGCAGAUUAUCUUGAAUUUGUCUAUUUACAAGUACUCGUCUUCAAAGAAAGAAUACGAUUAAUAAGUGAUAAUUGCCGCCAAAAUUUCUAUGCGAAGGACACUAGAAGAAAUGUGGAAAUGUGCGCUUGUCGUAUUUUAGGAUUUUUGCUGUGAAUUGUGAGGUGGGUAGCCUUUAUGAAUAAUUUAAUUCAUGUUUAAGGAUUGUGUUUAUUUUCCCGAUUUCUGUCUUUCCCCCCUUUUUAUAAUAAGCAUCACAUGGUAUUUAUAUCUGGAUGAAUAACUAAUUUCUAGGAUAUAAAUGUCAUUGUAGAGUCGACGACUUCCUUUGCAGAAUUCCUUUCUAUCAGGAUACUCCAAAUUUGCUUCACUUUCGUUUGGUAGCAUUCAUUUGUUACACGUAGGAACACUAUACUCAAUUUUGACACCUGUAACACUUUUACGGCCUGUUUACAUGUUACCACUAGGGUUACCCCUUCGCUCUUGGUCGGACCUCUACUCAAGGUCUUAAAAAGAAUUGAGGAGAAAGUGCUACCUUUACGUUGACAUCAGUAAAUGGUUAGACUUUCACAAAUUUGAAUCUCAAUAUUUGUCCAUGAUCGGACUACCUAUUUAAUAUAUUAAGGCAGAGCACAGAUAAAUUUGGCACAUCACAUUCCGUGCAUAAGUUCCACCCACCUCCUACGGGGCAGGUUUGGAGAUCGAGUUAAUUUGACCCACUGACUAGCACUCUCCCCUUGACGAGUAAAAUCAUCUGGCAUUAGACAGAGUAAAAUAAUAAAGUAGGGAACAUCGAGAUACAUUGCCACUUAAAGGGUUAACAGCAAGGAUGAAUGGGCAUAUAGUCUGAUUAACCCAUUUGAGCUCCAGCUCUCUCCCCUUGACCGGUGUCACGUUAGACAGUAAAAUAAUAAAGUAGCCCACAUUAGCUAGGGCACAAGGCAACUUAAUAAUGCAUUAAUGACUGAUGUAAUAAAAGGAGCCAGCACCUUCAAAUCAUCCCUAUAGUCGAUACCAUCUGUCAUCGCAUCCUUCAACAAACCUUCAACUGUUUCCACGAAAUUAGCCCUCCUUGCCUCAGCACCCUCGUAGGAAAGCAGACACACCACCACUCUACAAGGGCAGUAGAAAACAAUAACCUGUUUCUCCCCAAAGCCAGGACCAACACAGGAAAAUGCAGGUUUUCGUUACUGGCUCCUUCCUUGUGGAACAGAUUUCCAGACAUGGGAAAGAAACUUACCACGACACAUGGGUUUAGAUCGUUCUGUAAAGAACGAUGACUGAAGUCUAAGAUAACUGAACUGAACACAGAAAGAUUAUAUUAAUAUAAAAACUUUUACUGUUGAAAGUUAUAGAUUGUUAAUGUUAUGUGAUUGUGAUGUACAGUAUCUGUGUAUGUAAAUGUGUGUUUGUGAUGUACAGUAUCUGUGACUGUAUAUCCUACGUAUCUAAAGUAUGUUAACUGCAUGAGUAUCGUAAUCAUGUGAUGUAAUAUAUUUCUAGAACUUAAGAGGACCAGAUUGGAAACAAGCUGCACUGUAGCUUUAUCUGUAAAUCCUUGUUAAAUAAAGUGCUAAAUAAAUAAAUAAACCCAAUUCAGUUAGCCCUUAUAAAUGGUUAUUUUAGGCAGAUAGUAUGCUAUACUAAUAAAGUGAAUAAUGUAAUGAUUAAUAAUGGGUGAGUAAAACUAAUUCUUCUUCUACUACGUUAUUUCAUAAUUUGCAGGUUUAUUGAAAGAGCAAUAAUUGAUACUCGG
This is a non-coding RNA of Paramuricea clavata, 1945 nucleotides long. NCBI's taxonomy places the organism in Eukaryota, Metazoa, Cnidaria, Anthozoa, Malacalcyonacea, Plexauridae. The record is from the annotation of a GenBank genome assembly.